Molecule: ribosomal RNA, 650 nt
Filed under: Schistocerca piceifrons peruviana
Lineage: Eukaryota; Metazoa; Arthropoda; Insecta; Orthoptera; Acrididae
Description: partial 16S ribosomal RNA
Source: RNAcentral
UAUUUAUUUUAUUAUAUUUAUUUUUUGUUUAUUUAAUUAUUUAAUAAAAAUAAUUUUGUUGAAUUUUGUCUUAGUAUAUUUUGUAGAAUUGAUUUUUUAUAUUAUAGUUUAUUGGUAAUGUAAUUGUUUUAUGAAAUAUUAUUUUAAAUUUUUAAAAGUAGAUUUUAUUUAUUGUACCUUUUGUAUCAGGGUUUAUCAAAAUUUUAGUAUUUACUUUACUUGUCUCGAUUUGGGUUGAUUUAUAAAUAAUUUAUAGGUAAUGUAUCAUAAUCAUUAUUAAAUUAUUUAUAGAAAUGAGAUGUUAACCGUUUCCCAAGAUAUCUAGUUUCUUAAGAAAAAAUUUAAUUUUUAAAAGUUAAUUGUUUUUAUUUAAUUUUUUAAGUAUAAAUAUUAACUUAUUUAUUCUUUAAGGGAUAAGCUUUGAAGUUAAUAACCUAUAAUUUGUUUUAAUAAAAUAUAAUAGUAAGCUUUAAACCAGCUAUCUUUAAGAUUACGUUUUAGUUCAUUAUUUUUAUUUUUGAUUUUAUAACUAUUUUAGGUUUUUUAUUAAGAUUAUAAAUUUAAUUUUUAAAUUUUUGUAAUAAUGAUAGAAUUAGUAUAUUUAUUUGUAUAUAAUUUUUACCUUGUUAAUUUAUUAUAAGGAACUAGGC